AAGAGAGAGAAAAAGAAAGAGAGAGCGCUCCAUUUUGUGAGGACAUAGGGAGAAAGCAGUCAUCUGCAAGCCUGGGAGAGACCUCUUUCCAGAAAUCAAAUUAUCAUUAAUAAAACAGAGCCACCAGGCCAGACUGAGCAAAUUCUCCCUCUUGCUACGCCCUCCACUUUCUCCAAUGGGAACACUGCUCCGGGUCUGUCACCAGCCUGGGUAGACGCAUCCUGCUCUGCUUCUAAAUCUGGGCCCCUGCACAGACGUCACAGCCAAUUUACAUUAAAGUUUUAGGUGCAGCCAGGCUGCACUGGAUCUGAAGUGCCAUCCGAGUCCAAGAACACUGCAUCUUCUCCUGGACUUCCUCUGCCUACAGGGGCUGAGAGCCUGCAGAGUCCUCUCCAUGGCAAAGCUCUCCCAGAAACACAGGAACUAAAUUUCCGGCACUCAAGUAGGAAAGACGCAACCUCGGCUACUUAGGUAGUUUGGCUGCCACAAUCGGAACUUGGAUCCAAGGAAGAAAAUAUAAGGAUGCUGCUUUUCGUCCAUUAUGAUAGCUUUGAAUAUUCCAAGUAAAAAAAGUUAGUAUUAUCGUC
This 587-nucleotide long non-coding RNA is filed under the name Bos taurus (domestic cattle). RNAcentral's name for it is "long non-coding RNA NONBTAT002735". The record is from RNAcentral. Lineage: Eukaryota; Metazoa; Chordata; Mammalia; Artiodactyla; Bovidae.